RNAcentral lists this transfer-messenger RNA (131 nucleotides) under Finegoldia magna. Its description in RNAcentral is "partial transfer-messenger RNA". It matches the Rfam family "transfer-messenger RNA", at positions 1 to 136 of the family's 374-position model. Rfam says of the family: Bacterial tmRNA, also known as 10Sa RNA or SsrA, is named for its dual tRNA and mRNA-like properties. Its role is to liberate the mRNA from a stalled ribosome. The record is from RNAcentral. Lineage: Bacteria; Bacillati; Bacillota; Tissierellia; Tissierellales; Peptoniphilaceae.
GGGGAUGUCUUGGUUUCGACAGGGAUAUUGAAGUUUGAAUAGCGAGUCGUUUUCGUCUAUAAACGUAAAAAAAGGACAACUAAAUAUAAACGCUGAAGAUAAUAACUUCGCAUUAGCUGCCUAAUAACGGC